Scylla paramamosain (green mud crab) is the source of this 968-nucleotide long non-coding RNA. RefSeq lists it as uncharacterized. NCBI's taxonomy places the organism in Eukaryota, Metazoa, Arthropoda, Malacostraca, Decapoda, Portunidae. The record is from RefSeq and is a predicted model, not a curated record. The transcript is spliced from 3 exons.
UACAGAAGCAGGCAGGGAGUUCCAGAGUUUACCAGAAAAAGGGAUGAAAGAUUGAAAAUACUGGUUAACUUUUGCAUUAGAGAGGUGGACAGAAUAGGGGUGAGCAAAAGUAGAAAGUCGUGUGCAACGAGGGCGCGGGAGGAUGGAAGGCAUGCAGUUAGCAAGAUCAGAAGAACAGUUGACGAGAAAAUAUCGAUAGAAGAUAGCAGGAGAUGCGACAUUGCGGGGAAGAGAGAGAGGCUGAAGACAUUCAGUUAGAAGAGAGGAGCUGGUAAGACGAAAGGCUGGUCUGGUCUGGGGGGGACAGUCUCGUUAGGGGGACAGUAACCUGAUGAAGCGAGCAAACACGCGGUUCAAGAUUGUCCCAGAAACGAGUAAUCAUUGGUGACCGUCCUUAGCUCGGGACAGGACCAUCAGCUGGGCGGCGGCGGUAGUGGUGGCGACGGCGGUUGUGGUGGUAAGGUUAUACGAAGAGGAAGAAAAGGAAGAGAAAUAAAAGGAAAAGCCAGAGGAGGAGAAAGAAAAAUAGAAGAAGGCGCGAGAGAAGGAGAUGAGGAGGAGAAGGAGGAAAGCGCUAUAGAAGAAAGAAGAGCACCUCCCGCCUCGCGCCUUCCUUCCUCCCGUCUCCCGGAGUGUACACACCUGCACUCUUGAGGCUGCUGGCGAGAAGAACUGUGUCCCAAGCCCUCCACCAUGGCCGCCGCUCCGAAAGUUUGCGUCCGUCGCGCGAAGCUCAUCUUCCUGAUGGAGAACGCAGGCAAGGACGUCUUGACCUUCGUGUUGAAGCGCGGCGCGCUGAACGCCCCCGCCACGCCGCCAGGCCAGUCCCUCAUUGACUACCUUGACAACCUCCCUCAAGGCUCGACAGCCAACUAUGGCAGGAUGAGUAACAAACAAAAGAAAGCAGCACUGAACCACAGUUCAGUGCUGCUUAUCCUCUGACGUGACUACUUUAUUCAUUAUUUUUU